Dermochelys coriacea (leatherback sea turtle) is the source of this 2595-nucleotide long non-coding RNA. RefSeq lists it as uncharacterized. The transcript is spliced from 3 exons. Lineage: Eukaryota; Metazoa; Chordata; Testudines; Dermochelyidae. The record is from RefSeq and is a predicted model, not a curated record.
CUGGCCGCUUCCGGGAGCAGUGCGAGGCCCACGGCGCCACAGGGGUGGCAAUCCCGUGAGCUAGAUCCAAAGCCCUGAUGGGCCGGAUCCGGCCCGUGGGCCGUAGUUUUCCCACCCCUGCCCUACGUCCUAGGUGACUCAGGAGCCUGGCUGAGUAAAAUACUAAAUAAUCCAGCUGUGCAAGACCAUAUGCAAAAACCACAAGUUUAUCAUCGGCUGCCCUCUGCAGAGCUCCACUUGUUGGCUAAAGGCACCUGCACCGGAAGCGUCUGUUGAGCAAUGUCCACUGGCCUCGCCCUCCCUGCAUGGAGGGUCCUGAGGGUAUGAAAAGGGAAGUGGCCUCCACAUCAUCAUUCUAACCACCACAGCUCUCUCCUCAUGUCAGCAACCUCCAUGGGGACCUGGACAGUCAGACCAUCCAUCGCCUUCUUAACACACACCUGGCAGCCUAGACGUGAUCUGAAAAGCAGACAACAGAAUAAGCCUCAUACAUUUUUAUGGCAAAGGAAAGAGCCCACUAGCUCUCACCAGCAAUACCCAUACCAUUCGUUUGUCUCCAGAUUCAUACAGCAGCUCAGCUAUCAAAGGAUGGAGCUAGCACUACCCUCUCCCUCCCCCAGAGGAAGGAGAUUCUCAAGAUACAUUCGUAAUAGAAAAUAAAUUACACCCUCUGAGUAAUGUGUGCCUUAUAAACACUGAGAGUCUAGACUACAAGGAGCGAGACAGAACAUUCCCAGUCCAGAAAGUGGUGCAUUUCUGUGUGCCAACUCCAACAGGCAGAAAUGCUUACGUAUCAGUGAGUCCAUAGGCCAAAUCCAGCAUGUCCAGCUCCUCAUCUGUAAUGGCAUCCAACUUUUGAAAGACGUCCUCCUCAAAGAUGAGGUGACACGUGGAGCAGGCCAAUGUACCUUCACAGGCACCUGCAGGAAGUGGGAGGGGUCAGCACAAUGCAUCAGAGAACAGCAAGGAGGGAGGGAAGACACUCUUCAGGAAUUGUGAAAAGAGGUGGUCCUGCCUAUACCCAGGCUGAAAGUACAUCAGGAGAGGUUUCAGAGGGAAAUCAAGGAGCCAGUCUUGCUACUAACAAAUUUACUGACAGCCCCGCACCUCUUAUCCAGAAGGAUCCCAAAGCCAAAUGAAUACAUAGUUGAAAUAUGAACAUAUUUGAUACAUCCAGAAAAAUAAAUAACUACAUUAAUACAGUCUGUGGGGUGCCAGCUAGGAUGGGAGUUGCACAGAUAUUGCCGCUCUAGCCCUUUAAAUGAGACAGGGAUGUGAAACCUCUGCACCCCGGACACAUACAUACUCACUAACGAUCGUGUGGCAGAGAGAGAGAGAGAGAGAGAGAGGAGCUGGCCCCCAGUUCAGCGAUCCGAGUUUGACCCAAUUGCAGAACUGAUGAUAACCAGAACAGUGAAUGACGUUGCCAGACCAUUGCAAGCACGUCUGCAGUCUCGCAAUUCCCUGCGUUGUUUAUUUCACAUUUGUGUUUGACCCUUGGGAGCUUUAUUAUUGCACCUACCAAAGCCAUCGAUGCCCAGGUUUUGAUUAACCACCACUUCCAGCAAACUCUCCCCUUCUUUGGCUGUGGCCGUGAGUCUCUCUCCAUCCCGGUUUAUAAAAUGCACCGUCACUCUGUCCGCAGAGCUGUCAAACAAGUUACAGGAGGUCAGCGCAAGCUGGGCCACUGCUACCUAUGAAACAACUGCCAGCUGAGCAGGAGAAUGAGGCAGUGAUCACAUGAGCUGCCCUGUGCUGCUCUGGGUUCCUCCUGGAAGCAAAGUUGUCGAGAUACCCCAAGAGAAGCUGUCUGCAUGCUGGUUCUGGAAAUCUCAUGAAACAACCUGUUCUGGCCCAGUUUGGCAGAUCAAUUAUAUCUGAAUUACAGAUGCUGAACUUCACCAUCUGCUGAAUGCUUUGAAGUUCAAAAAUCACUACAGUAAAAUGUCAGAAACCGCACACCCCAAGAUUACAAAAUCAGGACCGAUAGUGCUAACAUGACAGGUGAAGGGUUCCGAAAACAACAUCCAAGAGAGAAGUGGAAAUCUCAGAUGAGGUGAAAUCAUUCUUGCAGAAGGGAAUUUGCAAUUUAAAUUGACAGCCCAAGAGACCCAAGUCCUAUAGCUAUCCACAGAACAGGGCUGCCAACACUGACCUAGAAGAACCACCUCUAGGGAGGAGAGGAAAAGAUCAGCCUCUGUAUCUCAUUCAGUCCUUAAGAACAUAAGGACGGCCAUUGUGGGUCAGACCCACGGUCCAUAUAGCCCAGUAUCCUAACUUCUGAUAGUUGCCAGUGCCAGAUGCUUCAGAGGGAAUGAACAGAACAGGGCAAUUAGUGAGAGAUCCAUCCCUGUCAUCCAGUCCCAGCUUCAGACAAUAAGAGGUUUAGGGAUACCCAGAGCAUGGGGUUGUGUCCCUGACCAUCUUGGCUAAUAGCUAUUGAUGGACCUACCUUCCAUGAACUUAGCUAUUCUUUUUGAACGCAGUUACACUUUUGGCCUUCACAACAUCCCAUGGCAACAAAUUCCACAGGUUGACUGUGCCUUGUGUUUCUUAUGUUUGUUUUAACCCUGCUACCUAUUAAUUUAAUUGGGU